UGGGGAAUUUUGGACAAUGGGCGCAAGCCUGAUCCAGCAAUGCCGCGUGCAGGAUGAAGGCCUUCGGGUUGUAAACUGCUUUUGUACGGAGCGAAAAGGUCUGCCCUAAUACGGUGGGCUAAUGACGGUACCGUAAGAAUAAGCACCGGCUAACUACGUGCCAGCAGCCGCGGUAAUACGUAGGGUGCGAGCGUUAAUCGGAAUUACUGGGCGUAAAGCGUGCGCAGGCGGUGAUGUAAGACAGAUGUGAAAUCCCCGGGCUCAACCUGGGACCUGCAUUUGUGACUGCAUCGCUGGAGUGCGGCAGAGGGGGAUGGAAUUCCGCGUGUAGCAGUGAAAUGCGUAGAUAUGCGGAGGAACACCGAUGGCGAAGGCAAUCCCCUGGGCCUGCACUGACGCUCAUGCACGAAAGCGUGGGGAGCAAACA
This 427-nucleotide ribosomal RNA is filed under the name uncultured bacterium. RNAcentral's name for it is "bacterial SSU rRNA". It matches the Rfam family "Bacterial small subunit ribosomal RNA", at positions 355 to 774 of the family's 1533-position model. The record is from RNAcentral.